ACUAAAUAUUUGCUAACAUACGAAUGUAGGAUGUGUUUGUGUAGUAUUAAAAUGACGAAAGCGGAAUUUUGUUUACAUCGCAAUAUAUUAUUAAAAAAUAUACAAUAUAUAUACAUAUACUUAUGUACAUUUCCAGGAGUUUUUAGAAGCACAAAAAUAAGAAUUAAGAUUUACAUAUAUUAGGGGAGAAAGUAGAAAUCUGUAAAACCUCUCUUCAAAACUAUCGUGGAUAAUUAAAAAUUGAGUGUUUGUGUGAUAAUUACUACCAACUUUGUUUAAAAAAAACGGCACUAACCGACACUCGAGAUAUGAAAACUAUGUAAAUUACAAUAGAACUUUCGACAACAGUUAAAGCAAUUAAGAUAAAUUCUUGAGCGUAUUUUCAAAAUAAAGGAAUAAAAAUCACGCGCGUGGGAGCUGCAUCGUACAAUACCUAAGUGAUACCGUUCUUGUUAAUAUGAACGAACAGUGUUGUGCAACCUAUGGUACAAGUAACAAGUGAACUGUAAAAAUAAAGUAAUGGCGAGGGGGUGUGGUACGAAGUGAAAGCAACAAUAUUUGAAAUUCACAAUGAGAAACUGUCAAGGCAAAUAGGCAUGUGCAAUUGUACUAAUUAAAUUCACCUUUGGAAGCAUCGGCGUAAAACAAACAGCGAGAAAGCAAACAUACAAACGUACAAUGACUUAAAUUAAUUUCAUGAAAAAGAUAGCUGCAAUUGGCAAAGGAGAUUGGGGAUGCUUUCUGCUUCUGAUUUGGGGAGAAAAUUUUUGGGAAAAUGUAAAAAAGAGAAUUUAUGGCAGUAAUGUGGCAAAUACUGAUCAAUUUUUCCAAAAAAGGGUUCUGAGAUAUGGAUAAAUAUACCCCAAUUCAUCGUUUCAUUGCCAUGGCGAUUUAAAGCAGUGAUAGGGAGUAAUGAGUUUGCCCAUGCCCACAACAGUCGGGUCGACAUAACCGGAACUGACCCGAAUUUUUUAACCAAUCGACUGUCAACUCAACAGAAUUCUGCCACUACAAUAACAACAACAGUAAUGAGUUUGCCACAAAAUCUAAGGAUUUGCUUUUAUUUUACUAAAAAUAAUAUGCCGUUUUCUUUCAGUUGUUUUUUUUCUUAUUGAAUAUGUACUAUAGAUGUUACAUCGAUUUUUAUUACAUUAAAUAAAAAACUGUGAAAUUUUAAUAAA
This is a long non-coding RNA of Bactrocera tryoni, 1181 nucleotides long. RefSeq lists it as uncharacterized. The transcript is spliced from 2 exons. Lineage: Eukaryota; Metazoa; Arthropoda; Insecta; Diptera; Tephritidae. The record is from RefSeq and is a predicted model, not a curated record.